AUUGAACGCUGGCGGCAGGCCUAACACAUGCCAGUCGAACGGUAACAGGAAGAAGCUUGCUUCUUUGCUGACGAGUGGCGGACGGGUGAGUAAUGUCUGGGAAACUGCCUGAUGGAGGGGGAUAACUACUGGAAACGGUAGCUAAUACCGCAUAACGUCGCAAGACCAAAGAGGGGGACCUUCGGGCCUCUUGCCAUCGGAUGUGCCCAGAUGGGAUUAGCUAGUAGGUGGGGUAACGGCUCACCUAGUCGACGAUCCCUAGCUGGUCUGAGAGGAUGACCAGCCACACUGGAACUGAGACACGGUCCAGACUCCUACGGGAGGCAGCAGUGGGGAAUAUUGCACAAUGGGCGCAAGCCUGAUGCAGCCAUGCCGCGUGUAUGAAGAAGGCCUUCGGGUUGUAAAGUACUUUCAGCGGGGAGGAAGGGAGUAAAGUUAAUACCUUUGCUCAUUGACGUUACCCGCAGAAGAAGCACCGGCUAACUCCGUG
Molecule: ribosomal RNA, 490 nt
Filed under: uncultured bacterium
Lineage: Bacteria
Description: partial 16S ribosomal RNA
Rfam family: Bacterial small subunit ribosomal RNA
Source: RNAcentral